RNAcentral lists this unclassified non-coding RNA (349 nucleotides) under soil metagenome. RNAcentral describes it as "partial contains 5.8S ribosomal RNA, internal transcribed spacer 2, and large subunit ribosomal RNA". The stretch from base 1 to 120 matches the Rfam family "5.8S ribosomal RNA", at positions 35 to 154 of the family's 154-position model. The record is from RNAcentral.
GAUGAAGAACGCAGCGAAAUGCGAUAAGUAAUGUGAAUUGCAGAAUUCAGUGAAUCAUCGAAUCUUUGAACGCACAUUGCGCCCGCCAGUAUUCUGGCGGGCAUGCCUGUCCGAGCGUCAUUUCAACCCUCGAACCCCUCCGGGGGGUCGGCGUUGGGGAUCGGCCCCUCACCGGGCCGCCCCCGAAAUCCAGUGGCGGUCUCGCCGCAGCCUCUCCUGCGCAGUAGUUUGCACACUCGCACCGGGAGCGCGGCGCGGCCACAGCCGUAAAACACCCCAAACUCUGAAAUGUUGACCUCGGAUCAGGUAGGAAUACCCGCUGAACUUUAGCAUAUCAAUAAGCGGAGGA